RNAcentral lists this ribosomal RNA (275 nucleotides) under uncultured Ascomycota. RNAcentral describes it as "partial 18S ribosomal RNA". It matches the Rfam family "Eukaryotic small subunit ribosomal RNA", at positions 548 to 829 of the family's 1831-position model. The record is from RNAcentral. Lineage: Eukaryota; Fungi; Ascomycota.
UUGGAGGGCAAGUCUGGUGCCAGCAGCCGCGGUAAUUCCAGCUCCAAUAGCGUAUAUUAAAGUUGUUGUGGUUAAAAAGCUCGUAGUUGAACCUUGGGCCUGGCUGGCCGGUCCGCCUCACCGCGUGUACUGGUCCGGCCGGGCCUUUCCCUCUGUGGAACCCCAUGCCCUUCACUGGGUGUGGCGGGGAGACAGGACUUUUACUGUGAAAAAAUUAGAGUGCUCCAGGCAGGCCUAUGCUCGAAUACAUUAGCAUGGAAUAAUAGAAUAGGACG